RNAcentral lists this ribosomal RNA (253 nucleotides) under uncultured bacterium. Its description in RNAcentral is "partial 16S ribosomal RNA". It matches the Rfam family "Bacterial small subunit ribosomal RNA", at positions 524 to 776 of the family's 1533-position model. The record is from RNAcentral.
UACGUAGGGACCAAGCGUUGUUCGGAUUUACUGGGCGUAAAGGGCGCGUAGGCGGCAUGACAAGUCACUUGUGAAAUCUCCGGGCUUAACUCGGAACGGUCAAGUGAUACUGUCGCGCUAGAGUGCGGAGGGGGCAAUCAGAAUUCUUGGUGUAGCGGUGAAAUGCGUAGAUAUCAAGAGGAAUACCUGAGGUGAAGACGGGUUGCUAGGCCGACACUGACGCUGAAGCGCGAAAGCCAGGGGAGCAAACGGG